UUGGCUUUUGUGUUCUGGUUAAGCUAAGGAGGAUAUGGGGGACUCGGAUGAUGAUGAUUAUGUGGAUAUAGGAAGGCCUGAUCUAGUAGGCCUUCUUCCCGAUGAGAUUUCGACACGUCUGAAGGAUGAACUCUUUAGCACCAUACAACCAGAACAUCUAGAACUGAUGAUGGGAAGAUUAUCAUGUUGUUUUGGCAGCAGCAAGCGAGGAAAAACAGCUUUACAGAGAGCUUGUGGAACUCGAGUUAUGGAAUGAGCUUUCUGGUCCUAUUCGAAACCAAAAGAGGCACAUCCUGUGUUGUUCCUCUGUCCCUCAACUCAUACGUGUCUCCAGAUUGAUUUGCGUGGACAAGACCCAGCUGCUAAAGUCGGUCAUACCUGCGACGCCUUUCAGUUCAUGUUAGACCACGGAGGAGUGCCUAAAGAAAGAGUGCUUGUGUAUGACUGCAAUCAACACCCUCCAGCUGAUCCAGAACCUCACAUCACCAUCAACUCUUUUGCCACCUUAGAAGAAGCACUGGUCCAGCUCCGCACACAGCCAAUCGGGGCUGAGUUCUCCCAACUCUCGGUGAGGAUGACAUUUACUAUGGACCUACAAAGGCAAAUUCUUAUUUCCUCGGUUAUCAUUGUUGACAUACAGAUUGUCGACAAUGGGGAAGUUAUUGCUAUCUGCAAAUCGAGCAACGGUACGAAUGUCAGGGAGUAAUGGAUACUUCCGUGUCUCUUUAGCUACGCUUCACAUGGUCAUUUCCAUCGCUGAUGAGGAGACUGCAGAGAUUGUGAAGGUGAUGACGGUGACAGUGACGGUGAAGAUGAAGAUGAGUCUGAAGCUGAACCCACACGCAAGAGGAGGAUUACACCACCGAAGCGUCAGAACUUAAGAAGAAGAAGAAGAAGCCCGUGCCAUGACCAUAGAGAUAAGAAGAAGCAGAGAAGUGGCUGAGAAUAAGAAACUAAUGGAUUUUGGAUCCGUGUGAGAGAGUGAGAGCUUCUUUUUUGUUUUCCCUUUAACCCCUUAAAGCAUCUGUUAUCUAUAGUAAAGGGAAGAAACUAAUGUCUUUUUUUGUCUCCUCUUAACUCAUCUCUCCUCGGUUAGGUAUUUUUGCUGGUUAGGUCUUGUUUGAAAACUUGUCAGGAUUCUUAUGUGUCUUGAGUCAUGCGAUUCUGCAAUAUGGCUUCAUUAUUGACACU
Molecule: long non-coding RNA, 1191 nt
Organism: Brassica oleracea var. oleracea
Lineage: Eukaryota; Viridiplantae; Streptophyta; Magnoliopsida; Brassicales; Brassicaceae
Exons: 4
Source: RefSeq, a predicted model, not a curated record